UGGGGAAUCUUCCGCAAUGGACGAAAGUCUGACGGAGCAACGCCGCGUGAGUGAAGACGGCCUUCGGGUUGUAAAGCUCUGUUAUUCGGGAAGAACGAUUCGUUUGUGAACAAUGAACGGAAGUGACGGUACCGAAAGAGAAAGCCACGGCUAACUACGUGCCAGCAGCCGCGGUAAUACGUAGGUGGCAAGCGUUGUCCGGAAUUAUUGGGCGUAAAGAGCGCGUAGGCGGUAUGGUAAGUCUGUCUUAGAAGUGCGGGGCUUAACCCCGUGAGGGGACAGAGACUGUCAUACUGGAGUCUCGGAGAGGAAAGCGGAAUUCCUAGUGUAGAGGUGAAAUGCGUAGAGAUUAGGAAGAACACCGGUGGCGAAGGCGGCUUUCUGGACGAGCACUGACGCUGAGGCGCGAAAGCGUGGGGAGCGAACAGG
RNAcentral lists this ribosomal RNA (429 nucleotides) under Fusobacteriota bacterium. RNAcentral describes it as "Fusobacteria bacterium partial 16S ribosomal RNA". It matches the Rfam family "Bacterial small subunit ribosomal RNA", at positions 355 to 776 of the family's 1533-position model. Lineage: Bacteria; Fusobacteriati; Fusobacteriota. The record is from RNAcentral.